This 133-nucleotide small nucleolar RNA is filed under the name Carlito syrichta (Philippine tarsier). RNAcentral describes it as "Small nucleolar RNA SNORA67 (ENSTSYG00000032561.1)". It matches the Rfam family "Small nucleolar RNA SNORA67". From Rfam's summary of the family: U67 belongs to the H/ACA class of snoRNAs which are thought to guide the sites of modification of uridines to pseudouridines. The record is from Rfam by way of RNAcentral. Lineage: Eukaryota; Metazoa; Chordata; Mammalia; Primates; Tarsiidae.
CACCAAGUUGCCCAGGUUGGGCAUAGUGCCCUUCUUAGGAAAGUAGCAACUUGGAAUAAAUUCUGACAUGCCUAAGGUCUUUGGGGAGUAGGGGGUGCUUACUUCCUUUGCCUUCCUUUGGCUGCCUACAUGC